RNAcentral lists this transfer RNA (74 nucleotides) under Allobrachymonas denitrificans. Its description in RNAcentral is "tRNA-Gly". It matches the Rfam family "tRNA". From Rfam's summary of the family: Transfer RNA (tRNA) molecules are approximately 80 nucleotides in length. Lineage: Bacteria; Pseudomonadati; Pseudomonadota; Betaproteobacteria; Burkholderiales; Comamonadaceae. RNAcentral also lists the same sequence under 1 other name. The record is from RNAcentral.
GCGGGCGUCGUUCAAUGGCAGGACCUGAGCUUCCCAAGCUCAUGACGUGAGUUCGAUUCUCAUCGCCCGCUCCA